CAUUGCCUCUAGUAUAUAUGUGAGGUCCAUCCUGCCCAGUGACUAAUCUAGUUAAACGGCCGCGGUACCCUGACCGUGCUAAGGUAGCAUAAUCAUUUGCCUCUUAAUUGGUGGCUAGUAUGAAAGGACAAAUGAGAGCCUAACUGUCUCUUACUUACCAAUAUAAACUAACCUUCAGGCGAAAAGGCCUGAAUAAAAUUAUAAGACAAGAAGACCCUGUCAAGCUUCACUAGAAAACCCUACAAUUGAAAAUAUUAAAAUUAUUCACUCCUAUCGCUUACUAGUUUAGUUGGGGCGACUGGGGACCAAAAAAAGCGUCCCCCACAAAACAAAGGACUAUAAUCCUAAUAAAUGAUCCCUAAACAGGACCAAGAGACAAGCUACUGCAGGGAUAACAGGCUAAUUUUUCCUGAGAGUCCAAAUCGAAGGAAAAGCUUGGCACCUCGAUGUUGGCUUAAGACAACCAUAAAGUGCAGCAGCUUUACAUGGUAGGUUUGUUCACCCUUUAAAGUCUUACGUGAU
RNAcentral lists this ribosomal RNA (522 nucleotides) under Leitoscoloplos robustus. Its description in RNAcentral is "partial 16S ribosomal RNA". It matches the Rfam family "Bacterial large subunit ribosomal RNA", at positions 1828 to 2604 of the family's 2925-position model. The record is from RNAcentral. Lineage: Eukaryota; Metazoa; Annelida; Polychaeta; Orbiniidae.